Molecule: unclassified non-coding RNA, 174 nt
Filed under: plant metagenome
Description: partial contains small subunit ribosomal RNA, internal transcribed spacer 1, and 5.8S ribosomal RNA
Source: RNAcentral
UUUCCGUAGGUGAACCUGCGGAAGGAUCAUUACAAAAUGUUAUGGGAUGUCCUAACGGGCACCCAAGCAAACACGUCCAUAUUAAACUUUUGAAACAAUUACUAGUCUGAUAAGGCCAUAUGCUGUAAAAAUUUAAAUAUAUUAAAACUUUCAACAACGGAUCUCUUGGCUCUC